UCUCUCAGUCUGGAUAAAGAUAAGGCUCUCUUUAUAUUCCAUUUUUCGUCCCCCUUUCUCUAUCUAAAUAAACACUCAAAUAGCAGUAUCAGUUUUUUCUCUCUAUAACUUGCCUUUUAGAUAUGUCGAUUGUGUUGGGAAGAAAUAAUUCAAGUGAUCAUCGGAUCAAACCUUCUGGAUUCACCGCCCACGAAAUGACCUCUAUGCCGAUCUAUAACUCGCCGGAAUUCGGCAUCGGAGAUCCUCGGGACGAUCGAAGUUCUUCUUUCUCAUCUUCUUCCUCUUCUUCAUCGAUCGGAAGAAAUAGUGAUGACUCGCCGGCCGGUAGAUCAUCAUCGGACGGGGAUGGCGAAGAAGUACAGAGUUCAUUUAAACCUGGAGGUUUGGACAAUUUGGGGACCUUAGAGGAGGUUUUACCUAUCAAGAGGAGCAUAUCAAAGUUUUAUGCUGGUAAAUCUAAAUCUUUUACCAGUCUAGCAGAUGCGGCUUCAAUUUCCUCUGUGAAAGAAAUUGUCAAGCCAGAGGAUGCAUACACCAGGAAACGCAAGAAUCUGCUUGCGCACAACAAUUUCUUUGGCAAAAAUCGUAGUUAUCUCCCAGGUAUGGGUAAUCGUGGGAUUUACAAGAGACCGAUCAACUCUAGAAGUUCAUCAGCUCUAGCUGCAAGUGUGAGCUGCUCUGACAGUUCCGAGUCUUUGAACUCAAGCCCAUCAUCGCCUUGUCUCACUCGUCCUCCUCUUCCUCCGCAGACACGAAGGUAUAGGAAUGAGUCGUCAUUAUCUCCUCCUGACCGAAAAUUGAAUGCAUGGAGGUCUUUCUCCUUAUCUGAUCUACAAGGUGCUGCUGCUGCUGCUCCCAGCUUGAUGGGAAUAAAGGAAUAAAAGACAAUAGUUGUAUUCUGUGUCACCCUAUGAAGACAAACUCAGAUUUGUUUACAUGGUGGUUGGCUUACUUAUUGAAUCGGUCAUAGGUUUGGUUUUUGAGUCUCUGGCUGUCUGCCCAUUGUAAUUAUUGGUCUGCCCACCGUCUGGUCAUGUUAUCCUAACAAUAUUACUUUUUUCAGUACACAUUUUAGACCUUUGCAUUCCUUGUUUCUUAAAUGUGUUGUCUUGCGUCAUUGGAUAAAAGCUGAAAAAGGAUCAUGGUGUAAGGCUCUUUUGUCCACCCUCUGCGCCCUGUGUCUUGUACUCUUGUUCAAUGCUGUUGAGAAUGGGUGCUUAAAGUGCCAGGCAGUGCAUCAUCAUCAGAUGAAUAAGUGGAGAUGUUUGUUUUGGUAUUUG
This 1280-nucleotide unclassified non-coding RNA is filed under the name Hevea brasiliensis (rubber tree). Lineage: Eukaryota; Viridiplantae; Streptophyta; Magnoliopsida; Malpighiales; Euphorbiaceae. The record is from RNAcentral.